ACCGACACGAAAGGAAAUGCGGACGAUACGGGUGUAACCUGCGCCACACGAGCUAUCAACCCUCGUGGAUUUGAUCCUUUCCACCUGAAACAGUUACAACGCACACGAAAACAUCGAACACUGCACAUCUGUACCUCCGAUAUCGUGUCAACAAUUCCUGAGGCAACAAUUCAUGUUCACGACAUCAGAAAGUUAUCUAAAACUAAGUGACGGCGUAGGAAAAGUAGGCAGCAUCGCUAAACGUCAUGGAUUGGCUUCGAGACAGCUUCGAGACAGCCCAAACCGUUCAAAUCAGGCCACAGCGACGGCUUGAUAAGGAUAACCGAAGCUGAUCUCGAAGGCCAUGCUUAUGCUGGCUGCAGAUGGCGGAAGCAAUUCAAAGGUAAAAUACGUUUUAGAAUUUCUUUCUACGCCAAACUAUAGUGUUAAAUAUAGAUUGUUCUACAGUUAUUUUGUCUCACAACAUCUAUACGUAGUUGUGUGUAACCCGGCACAAAAUUUUAGUAUGCGAGUGUACUGGUUAAUAUUUUUGUCAUCACAGAGGCCACAACAUUCUCACAAGUAUGCAGGUGGCGCUAUUGUUUUUCCUCCGUGUUCUGUGAUGGCGGUCGUAUGUGCGGGGUGCUACGAGCGUCGCGUUUGCUUGAUCGUGUGUUUUUGUGUUUGCUGUUAUGAAGUAGGUCGCAGUUAGCGUGCACAGAAGUGCCUGAAGAUACCUUGUGUCACGCUGCAAACUCGCCGUAUGCGUGGCGCGCCAGGCAAAUGUGGCCCAACGAUUUUAUGCCGUGGAGUGCGGUUUCUUUGUUCUCGUUCUGGAAAGUUGGGUGGACGUCGCAAAGAAUGUGUGUUAGCGCGCCUCAGCUCGUCCACUACGCAGCGGCAUGUAUGCGGGGAGUAACAUCGUCGACGCAGCACCGGCAACUUGGAGAGUGCUUCGCGACCGCGUCGUACCAUUCAAAAGGUAAGUAAUCGUGCUGGCUAACUACGCGCGUGUUGUGUGAGCUUCUCGUGUGUGCAUAGCGUGCGCGAGCGUAUGAAAUAGAAGUCCCGCGACAACAGUGAUACCUGUGCUGAUGCUUGCUGAACGCUGGUUGUCAGCGCUUAGUUACGCAAGUUUAUUGCUUCGAUGCGAAAUUGAAAAUCUUGAUAAACGUUUUCUUCCGAUGAGAAAUAUAACGUUCGAAAAUAAUCGUGUUCAUCAUGUGCGUGCGGCGCGUGAGCUCCCGCUUUUCUCCUGAAGUUGCAUAAUGACUCAUUUGCCUCUUUACCGAUUCUUAUUGCAAUGACGUUUCCUUGCUUACAUGGCAAGGAAACUUGUUUCAUAUCUACUUGUCCAAGGAAACUUGUUUCAUAUCUACUUGUCCAAGGAAACUUGUUUCCUUGCCAUGUUUCCUUGCCUCAACGUUGUAAAUAAUAUCUGCUUACGAAGUUUUCGGUUUACGGCAGCUUUAGAGAAAAAAAAUUUAAGCAAUCACAGCUUGCUACUAGUCCAACUUACUUUUUAAGACAAGAUGUUUUGACAUACCUUAUAUGUAACUAAACAUGACAGGGGAAAGUUAAACUGAGUCAUGAAAAAAAAAAUUAAUUGUUUUGUAAACAAACAUUUCUUUGCUAUGUGCUGCUGCGUGUCAAUAAUUUUACUGUGAUCAAAGGGUCCCCAUUAUCAAGACAUUCAUCAGUGACUUCUACUUUGUGCUCUGUUGCCACCCUGCAAUAAUGCAAACAUUGUUUUUGUGACUAUAUUUAGAUGCUCCAUGCAUGUCUAGACAAUUUGACAGCUUUAUAAAGCUGUGUGCCACUGCUAUAAGUUAACACAGAACUUAUUUUAUAGUGGCGAGGCUGUGACCCAUAACAGUGCCUACAUAACGGAGGAGCCACCAGACCCCUUGGCUAUGCCUGCCGUAGUGCAACGUAUAAUCUGGAUGGUCGGGUCAGGUAUGUAUGUAGUGUACACCUAGGAAAUGUUGUAUACAUUGGCAACGAUAACUGGGGCCUGCUCCAGUGCCAUCGCCGGGAUUCCCUCUUCUGCAAAGAACUGACAUAACUGAUGUGGGGAGCCCUGGCGCUCGGUGUAGGAGUAUCACAAGGGCUCCUUGUCGGUGCUUGAAGGACGGCAAUGCUGUUGAGAAGCCGACAUUGAGCCCCGAUAAAUUGGAAGCUGUGGGUAGUUACCGCAUUAUUGACUUGGAAACCAGUGAGGUCUGGAUGCAAGUGAAGCUACCGAGGGAGGCAUGUGUGCAUCACUUGUGCUGCUGGCCAUCCUCUGCAAAAGUGAUGGCUGGCAGUCAGUGCUUGGAUGACUUUCUGUUACUCUACGCCUUGGGCUGUGUUGACUACUUCACACUUGCUGCCAUGUCUGCAAGCUUAGGCAAAAAGACCGGCUGGAUGCUUGGCAGGAGAUAGUAUCCAACCGCAGUGUUACUGUGUUGUGUUGUACAUUACAAAGUGAUGGAGGACAGUAUUUGUGCUGUUAUUAAGAAGUAUAAAUUGUGUUCUGCCGUUGAAAUAAGGGAACUCGACACAAAGCAAAAGAUUUCGAAGUCUGACCUACAUGGGAAAGCAAAAUAUAUUGUGUUGUAGUUGUAGCUGUUAGUAGAGUCUUAAUAUGCGAUAGAAGACCUUGAUGUUUAAUAGAAAAUAUAUUUAAGUGUGUUAUGAGUGUGUUAUCAGUGUUUAAGUUACUGUUAUGUGUCAUUUGUUUGCCAGGACGAUGUAAGCAGACAGUAAAUAAAUGCAUGGUUUGAGAUUAUAACCAGGUUUGUCUAUGGCAUUCACUAUUAUUUAAGGUGGACCAAUGCAUAUUCAUGGGUGCAUAUUCAACCACCACAUUCCUCCUGCACAAACAAUUCCUACAUACUAGCGUUUGGUCUUAGCAGCUGAUGUUGGCUAUUAUACAAUUUCUUGAAAGCACAUGCAGCUACCGACACAUGAUUUUUAGAGCAGUAAGUCGGAAGCAAAGACUGAUUUUUUUCUGUGGUCUAAGCUUAAAUGAUAUGUUUAAGGAAAUGAACAUUUGUGGAAUAUAUUUACUUUCCUGCUGCGAGAACCUUUAUACGAGAACCUCUGCACAUUGGACGUGCAUGCUGCUUCUCUUGC
Molecule: long non-coding RNA, 3096 nt
Organism: Dermacentor silvarum
Lineage: Eukaryota; Metazoa; Arthropoda; Arachnida; Ixodida; Ixodidae
Exons: 3
Source: RefSeq, a predicted model, not a curated record